GCUGAUAUAGCUCAGUAGGCAGAGCACAUCCUUGGUAAGGAUGAGGUCACCAGUUCGAUCCUGGUUAUCAGCUCCA
Molecule: transfer RNA, 76 nt
Filed under: bacterium 1XD42-1
Lineage: Bacteria
Also listed under: 2 other names
Description: tRNA-Thr
Rfam family: tRNA
About the family: Transfer RNA (tRNA) molecules are approximately 80 nucleotides in length. Their secondary structure includes four short double-helical elements and three loops (D, anti-codon, and T loops). Further hydrogen bonds mediate the characteristic L-shaped molecular structure. tRNAs have two regions of fundamental functional importance: the anti-codon, which is responsible for specific mRNA codon recognition, and the 3' end, to which the tRNAs corresponding amino acid is attached (by aminoacyl-tRNA synthetases). tRNAs cope with the degeneracy of the genetic code in two manners: having more than one tRNA (with a specific anti-codon) for a particular amino acid; and 'wobble' base-pairing, i.e. permitting non-standard base-pairing at the 3rd anti-codon position.
Source: RNAcentral